CUCUCCUGGUUCAAAGGAAACAGUGUAUUGUCCAUCAUCAGAGUGUCUGAUCUCAGCAGCCGGUCUGAUCUUCUUCUCCAUCUGGAGUGUGUGGAUGAUUCCUACAGCUGUGUGCUGAACAAUCCCAUCAGAAACCAGACUCAACACCUCAACAACACUCAGCUCUGUCACACAUGUGCAGAAGACCGUAUCCACUGUUGUGGCUUCACUGAAGCUGUGAUCCGAUUGGCUCUCUCUGCUGUGGUGGGCGUGGCUACUGUGGCUGUUCUGGUUUAUGAGAUCAGAUGCGGAAGUCUUCAACAGAAGAAAAGUGUGCAGGAGUAAACAUCGAACUCUUCUUGCAUAACUGGAGGCAUUAUAUAUAUAAAACAUUGUUUUUAUUCAUUUCAAUGGUAUUUGCAGCACUUUCACAAUACAAAUCAUUCUAUCGUUCGGCUAUUGUUUAUAUCUGCUGACAGAUGUUUGGGGAAAUAACAUACAGCAGUUUUUGAACCAUUUUAUGUUUUAUUAAUUCAUUAAAAAUUAUUGCUGCCCCCAGUUCAUCACAAACAUUUGUUGUAAGCCAAUUGUUGGCCACAUUUGUUGGCGUUCCAAUCACUUGAUUUGAUUUUUGUGCUAUUUAGCCUGUAAUGUCAAUCCUUUUGAGAAUAAAUCCGAGUCACAUGAUCAGGAGCAUAUUAAAAUGUAGAUUUAACCCUAAUCAAGCACCUGAUCAAUGCUAAUCAAUGUCAACUGUGCCAUGAAAAGGUUCAUUACUCGAAGCUUUUAAAAACGGUGCACGCUAACGACAUCUUCUGGUCAAAAGGUGGAAAAAGCUGCCUUUGCAUCCCGGACGACAGACAUUUUUGGACUGUUUCAUGUAAUAAAAAGUUUGUGCUUUGAAAAGUGUAUAAAACAAUAAAAAUGUAGUCAUAUGAUCAAAAAUAAAUGAAGAUUAUCACUGAAUGGUCGGUUGAAGCACUUCAAAUAAAUACAAACAACAUGCACAAAACUACUCGUGUAAAUAUUUAUUCGUAUUAUGAUUUAUUCUUAUCAAACAGCGAAUGACACAGAUCAAAGAUGCGAAGAAAAAAGGCAAAAGAGAAAAGGAGGAAGAAGAAGAGCGAAGCUUGCUUUGGACCGGAUAAGAUCGGCUUGAAAGGAAAAGAGAUGAUCGGAUCGUUUAGACAAUAGACUGAACUCAUAAAAGAACAUCUGCUCAACAGUCUCAGAGUAACUUGCUUCCAGCGAGCCUUAAGGGCAUUCGAACCUGGAGUUUGACCGGACUGUGAAACAUCUGACCAACGGACAGCGCUCUCAAUCUGAAGGAGUGUUUGGUGCUGAAACAGAUGAAGUGAAGACAGUGAUGGAGGGAGAUUCAGUCACUCUAAACCCUGAUCUUACUCAAAUACAGGGAAUUAAUAUGAUCCUGUGGAGGUUUGGAGACACGGGCUUCACCAUUGCUCAAGUCGAGGAGAAUGAGAUCUCGUACGAUCCUGAAGAGAGAUUCAGAGACAGACUGAAGCUGGAUCAGACUGGAUCUCUGACCAUCACAAACAUCAGAAUCAAACACUCUGGACUUUAUAAAGCAGAAAUCAUACACAACACUGGGACCACCUAUAGGAAAUUCACAGUUAUCGUCUAUGAGUCUCCAGCUGUUAUUGAUGCUGGUUAAAGGUGAAAUGAAGAGUGUAUCAGAGACGGAGGGAGAAUCUGUCACUCUUCAGACUGAUACUGAAACACACGGAAGAUGAGCAGAUAGUGUGGAGGUUUGGAGAUGAAGGAAAACUCAUAGCUAAACAUGAUCUAGAGGCCAAGACUCCACCAUUAUAUGAUACUGAUGAGAGACUCAGAGACAGACUGAAGCUGGAUAAUCAAACUGGAUCUCUGACCAUCACAAACAUCAGAAUCACAGACUCUGGACUUUAUACAGUGAAGAUCAGCAGCAGCAAACAGACUUUAUACAAGAGAUUCACUGUCACUGUCAGCGAUUCAGCUCUGUCUCCAGCUGCUGUAGCAGGGAUUGUUGUUGUUGUUCUGCUGCUGGUAUUUUCAGCUGUCACAGCUGCUGGUGUUUUUUACCAUCGUCGCAAAGUCUCUGAACUACAAAAUCAAACGAAGAAGAUAUCAAAACAACUAGAGCAACUGCCGAAGGAUCUCUGAACAGCUAGAGCAACUGACGAAGACCUGUGAAAAAGAACUGCCGAAGAUCUCUAAAGAAGAAUUAUUGGAGAUCUCUGGAACACUAAAGAGAAUGUCCGAGAUCUCUGAGAAAGAAAUGCCGAAGAUAUCUGAACAUCUAAAGCAACUGCGCACCGAAGUCACAAAUCAAGAGACAAUGAGAUCAGAUUUGGAGAAAGGUGGAGAGGAACGGUGCAUUACUGUUCAUGAUACAGCCAUAAGUCAAGCGACAGGUGACGUCAAGAUAUCCAUAGAGGAGCAGGGCAAGAGGAUUCCAAUCCGUAAAAACAGCAGUGAAGAUGCUGGAGUUCACACACAUGAUCCCACUGUAGUGACGCCGCUGUUAAAAAAAGAACAUGAUGGAGAGAAUAAGCCGGAGGACAUGACUCCAGGUUGAGAUAAGACACGCCCACCCGUGUCAAUCACUAUGACAUCAUCAACAUGAGCGCCAUAUUUCUGUCCAUCCCGUGAAUGUGAGAACCCAUUUCUGUUGAGCUGUUAAUCUGCAGAGUAAAAAGCUUCUUUGGUUGGUGGUUGAUGAAACUCUUUCAUACAUUAUUCAUUUCAAUAAUGCUACACUUCAAUCCUGUUACUCUGUUAACAAAAUACUGCCUUGAUCUUUGAUAUUGUGUGAUAGUAACAAUCUGAUUAUCACACAAUGUGUUAUUGCUUUGAAAAAUGCUAGAAGUGGGCAGUGAAAUGGGCUUCUUGGUUUCAAGAAUUUAGCGCAAUGGUCAAACAUGUCCAUCUAGUGAAUGCUUAAAGCACCAAAGACGAGCUCUGAAGCUUAGAAACUCCUACAGACACUAAACUCACUGAUGAACAAGUAAUUAUAGCUGCAAAAUACAUAUCCAGUGAUAACUACAUCCAUCAGGAGACACUCUAAGAUCUCACAUUAGGAAGUUUUUGGUCCAAUAAAAAUAUUUUUCUUUUCUUUGUGUGUGGCUUUGAAAAACACUACUAUCACUAUCACUACUUUAUAUCUGUAUAUGUAUUAUUACCUUUUCGGUUACUGUAUUUCUGUGCUGUUGUCUUUAUUAGUUAAUGAUAAUGCAAAGUCCUUAUUUCAAGGUUUCUAAUUGUUACAGGACAAAGCAGUCAUUUUCCAUUGCCUUUGCUGUAAUAUAAUAACACUCAUUGAAUGUGUGCUGAUCAGGUGAACAUCUGACCGAUCAAGCAUAUACAAAGACAUUAACUAAUGUCGUUAAAUAAACUGAUUAUUAUACCAUCA
This is a long non-coding RNA of Megalobrama amblycephala (Wuchang bream), 3391 nucleotides long. RefSeq lists it as uncharacterized. The transcript is spliced from 15 exons. The record is from RefSeq and is a predicted model, not a curated record. Lineage: Eukaryota; Metazoa; Chordata; Actinopteri; Cypriniformes; Xenocyprididae.